CCUACGGGAGGCAGCAGUGGGGAAUAUUCCACAAUGGGCGAAAGCCUGAUGGAGCAACGCCGCGUGGGUGAAGACGGUCUUCUGAUCGUAAAACCCUGUUGUUAGAGAAGCAAGUGCGUGAGAGUAACUGUUCACGUUUCGACGGUAUCUAACCAGAACGCCACGGCUAACUACGUGCCAGCAGCCGCGGUAAUACGAAGGGGGCAAGCGUUAUCCGGAUUUAUUGGGCGUAAAGGGAACGCAGGCGGUCUUUUAAGGGUGAUGGUAAAGCCUUCGGGUUAACCGGAGUAGGGCAGUUGAAACUGGGGGACUUGAGUGCAGGAGAGGAGUGUGGAACGCCAUGUGUAGCGGUGAAAUGCGUAGAUAUAUGGAAGAACACCAGUGGCGAAAGCGGCUCUCUGGUCUGUAACUGACGCUGAGGUUCGAAAGCGUGGGGAGCAAACAGGAUUAGAUACCCGGGUAGUC
RNAcentral lists this ribosomal RNA (465 nucleotides) under uncultured bacterium. Its description in RNAcentral is "partial 16S ribosomal RNA". It matches the Rfam family "Bacterial small subunit ribosomal RNA", at positions 338 to 795 of the family's 1533-position model. The record is from RNAcentral.